UACAGAGGGGGCAAGCGUUAUUCGGAAUUAUUGGGCGUAAAGGGCGCGUAGGCGGCUUGGCAAGUGGAAGGUGAAAUCCCUCGGCUCAACCGAGGAACUGCCUUCUAAACUGCUUUGAUUGAGUCCGGGAGAGGUCAGUGGAAUUCCCAGUGUAGCGGUGAAAUGCGUAGAUAUUGGGAGGAACACCAGUGGCGAAGGCGGCUGACUGGACCGGUACUGACGCUGAGGCGCGAAAGCUAGGGGAGCGAACGGG
This 253-nucleotide ribosomal RNA is filed under the name uncultured bacterium. RNAcentral's name for it is "partial 16S ribosomal RNA". It matches the Rfam family "Bacterial small subunit ribosomal RNA", at positions 524 to 776 of the family's 1533-position model. The record is from RNAcentral.